GGAUGGGUGGCCGAGUGGUUUAAGGCAGCGGUCUUGAAAUUCGGUUGCGGGCGUCCGCGCCCGUCCA
RNAcentral lists this transfer RNA (67 nucleotides) under Aureimonas phyllosphaerae. RNAcentral describes it as "tRNA_Ser_TGA". It matches the Rfam family "tRNA". From Rfam's summary of the family: Transfer RNA (tRNA) molecules are approximately 80 nucleotides in length. Lineage: Bacteria; Pseudomonadati; Pseudomonadota; Alphaproteobacteria; Hyphomicrobiales; Aurantimonadaceae. The record is from RNAcentral.